Molecule: ribosomal RNA, 760 nt
Filed under: uncultured Eikenella sp.
Lineage: Bacteria; Pseudomonadati; Pseudomonadota; Betaproteobacteria; Neisseriales; Neisseriaceae
Description: bacterial SSU rRNA
Rfam family: Bacterial small subunit ribosomal RNA
Source: RNAcentral
AUUGAACGCUGGCGGCAUGCUUUACACAUGCAAGUCGAACGGCAGCGGGGUAGUGCUUGCACUACUGUCCGGCGAGUGGCGAACGGGUGAGUAAUAUAUCGGAACGUACCGAGUAAUGGGGGAUAACCAAUCGAAAGAUUGGCUAAUACCGCAUACGUCCUACGGGAGAAAGCGGGGGAUCGCAAGACCUCGCGUUAUUCGAGCGGCCGAUAACUGAUUAGCUAGUUGGUGGGGUAAAGGCCUACCAAGGCGACGAUCAGUAGCGGGUCUGAGAGGACGAUCCGCCACACUGGGACUGAGACACGGCCCAGACUCCUACGGGAGGCAGCAGUGGGGAAUUUUGGACAAUGGGGGCAACCCUGAUCCAGCCAUGCCGCGUGUAUGAAGAAGGCCUUCGGGUUGUAAAGUACUUUUGUUAGGGAAGAAAAGGGAAGUGCUAAUACCACUUUUUGCUGACGGUACCUAAAGAAUAAGCACCGGCUAACUACGUGCCAGCAGCCGCGGUAAUACGUAGGGUGCGAGCGUUAAUCGGAAUUACUGGGCGUAAAGCGAGCGCAGACGGUUAUUUAAGCAGGAUGUGAAAUCCCCGGGCUUAACCUGGGAACUGCGUUCUGAACUGGAUAGCUAGAGUGUGUCAGAGGGGGGUAGAAUUCCACGUGUAGCAGUGAAAUGCGUAGAGAUGUGGAGGAAUACCGAUGGCGAAGGCAGCCCCCUGGGAUAACACUGACGUUCAUGCUCGAAAGCGUGGGCAGCAAACAGG